Molecule: ribosomal RNA, 515 nt
Filed under: uncultured bacterium
Lineage: Bacteria
Description: partial 16S ribosomal RNA
Rfam family: Bacterial small subunit ribosomal RNA
Source: RNAcentral
GAUGAACGCUGGCGGCGUGCCUAAUACAUGCAAGUCGAGCGAAUGGAUUGAGAGCUUGCUCUUAUGAAGUUAGCGGCGGACGGGUGAGUAACACGUGGGUAACCUGCCCAUAAGACUGGGAUAACUCCGGGAAACCGGGGCUAAUACCGGAUAACAUUUUGAACCGCAUGGUUCGAAAUUGAAAGGCGGCUUCGGCUGUCACUUAUGGAUGGACCCGCGUCGCAUUAGCUAGUUGGUGAGGUAACGGCUCACCAAGGACACGAUGCGUAGCCGACCGGGGAUGGGGAUCGGCCAGACUGGGACUGAGACACGGCCCAGACUCCUACGGGAGGCAGCAGUAGGGAAUCUUCCGCAAUGGACGAAAGUCUGACGGAGCAACGCCGCGUGAGUGAUGAAGGCUUUCGGGUCGUAAAACUCUGUUGUUAGGGAAGAACAAGUGCUAGUUGAAUAAGCUGGCACCUUGACGGUACCUAACCAGAAAGCCACGGCUAACUACGUGCCAGCCGCCGCAGUAA